AUAAUUCUUCAGGGCAGGGUGAAAUUCCCUACCGGCUGUAUUUAUGCAAUGCAUAUAAGCCAGCGAGCCGAAAGGCAUGAUAUGGUGUGAUUCCAUAGCCGACAGUAAAGUCUGGAUGAGAGAAGUAAUAA
Molecule: regulatory RNA element, 131 nt
Organism: Eubacterium sp. CAG:156
Lineage: Bacteria; Bacillati; Bacillota; Clostridia; Eubacteriales; Eubacteriaceae
Rfam family: FMN riboswitch aptamer (RFN element)
About the family: The RFN element is a highly conserved domain that is found frequently in the 5'-untranslated regions of prokaryotic mRNAs that encode for flavin mononucleotide (FMN) biosynthesis and transport proteins.
Source: Rfam